UGCCAGACUCCUACGGGAGGCAGCAGUGAGGAAUAUUGGUCAAUGGCCGAGAGGCUGAACCAGCCAAGUCGCGUGAGGGAUGACGGCCCUACGGGUUGUAAACCUCUUUAGGCGGGGAGCAAUGCCGGGCACGCGUGUCCGGAGGGAGAGUACCCGCAGAAUAAGCAUCGGCUAACUCCGUGCCAGCAGCCGCGGUAAUACGGAGGAUGCGAGCGUUAUCCGGAUUUAUUGGGUUUAAAGGGUGCGUAGGCGGAUUUUUAAGUCAGCGGUAAAAUGUCCGGGCUCAACCCGGGCCGGCCGUUGAAACUGGAGAUCUUGAGUGGGCGAGAAGUAUGCGGAAUGCGUGGUGUAGCGGUGAAAUGCAUAGAUAUCACGCAGAACUCCGAUUGCGAAGGCAGCAUACCGGCGCCCGACUGACGCUGAGGCACGAAAGCGUGGGGAUCGAACAGGAUUAGAUACCCUCGUAC
This 467-nucleotide ribosomal RNA is filed under the name uncultured bacterium. RNAcentral describes it as "bacterial SSU rRNA". It matches the Rfam family "Bacterial small subunit ribosomal RNA", at positions 329 to 793 of the family's 1533-position model. The record is from RNAcentral.